CCUAUGGGCACAAUGCGUCUGCCUACAUUAACCAUAAUGCUCUCCUGCUUACAUCAAAUACCAGGAUGUGACGGUGACCCUGUUGUAUUCAUCCCCAUAGCCUCUUCCUGUCCCACCAGCCCGCCCUUUCCCUAUAAAAGAUGUAAUCACUUCCAGAAUAAAACGGGGCUUGAUCGGACUCCCUCGACUUGCUUCCGUCUCUCUUUGUCUCCCCUAUGUCUUUAUUUAAUCCCGUUCCUCCUCCAGGUACACCCCACGGAUUGAUCCGCAGGCCGGAUCAAGUGGCACCCAGCGGGGGGGCUCCUGGCACGGAGGAGUCAACGAGGGAGCUGUUCAAGACAGCCGGCUUAAAGUGAAAGCGAAUUGAACCAGAGACCGCGGCGAGAACUGAGCAAACUAAAUCAAGGAUUAAAGCUAAAAGCAACAGGACAUUAAAUCAAGUACCGAGGCCUGCACAGACAACUACCCAACGUCCUGCCCGAGUCAUGGUGACACAACUCCCCGGUGCCCUAUGCUGCCUACUCAGCCUGCUCCUUGAGCCGUACCACACCCAUGGUGGAUUUAGACCCCUGCCAAACAGACUAAAACUGCUGACAGCCAUGCACACAACCCCCUGUGACUGCAAAAGAUGCUCUUCUCGAUCUGGAGGAACAUAAACCAGCCAAAUAGACUGCGUCCGGUGUUAUGCGAGACAAGCUCCAAAAAAUAGAAAAACGACUUCAACAACGACAACAACAAAUGGCUGCCGACCCUUUCUCCUCAGUGUGUGUUGGGGGAGCUUUUCCCUUACCUAGUGCCCCUUUUGGGUCCCCUAGUACCCUAUUGCUUCUCCUUUCUGUGAGUCCUUGUAUUUUUCAGAAGAUUAUGACGCUCAUUAAUAACCGGAUAAACGCGUUUAUGGCAAAGCCCAUUCAGAUACACUAUCAUCAGCUGGAGAUGGCAGAUCCAACAAACCUACCAGAAAGGAAUUCCCACAAGUGGCCCAAAUGACAAUGCAGCCUAACUGCCCUGGGGCAAUGGACAGGCAGUCAGAGAUGGGCAACUAGGACAUGCAUGUUAAUUCCAACGGCCACCUAAGACAGGCACAGGACCAACUGCUGUUCUGCAAGCCCAUGAUGGGUAAGGCCUGGUUGGAUUCAUGCAGUGAGGUCCUUGACCUAAGACAGAUGCUGUCUGGCAGGGCAUGCCAUACUCCUGAUUAAAUAAGAUAGAAAGGGAGGAGAUGUAGGGAGCCGCAGACAGCCCCAUUGCUGUCUCCCCGCCUCUCUCUCUCCUAUGGGCACAAUGCGUCUGCCUACAUUAACCAUAAUCCUCUCCUGUUUACGUCACAUACCCGGAUGUGACGGUGACCCUGUCGUAUUCAUCCCCAUAGCCUCUUCCUGUCCCACCAGCCUGCCCUUUCCCUAUAAAAGAUGUAAUCACUUCCGGAAUAAAACAGAGCUUGAUCGGA
Cavia porcellus (domestic guinea pig) is the source of this 1450-nucleotide long non-coding RNA. RefSeq lists it as uncharacterized. The transcript is spliced from 2 exons. Lineage: Eukaryota; Metazoa; Chordata; Mammalia; Rodentia; Caviidae. The record is from RefSeq and is a predicted model, not a curated record.